Molecule: ribosomal RNA, 391 nt
Filed under: uncultured bacterium
Lineage: Bacteria
Description: bacterial SSU rRNA
Rfam family: Bacterial small subunit ribosomal RNA
Source: RNAcentral
UGGGGAAUAUUGGACAAUGGGGGCAACCCUGAUCCAGCAAUGCCGCGUGUGUGAAGAAGGUCUUCGGAUUGUAAAGCACUUUCGACGGGGACGAUGAUGACGGUACCCGUAGAAGAAGCCCCGGCUAACUUCGUGCCAGCAGCCGCGGUAAUACGAAGGGGGCUAGCGUUGCUCGGAAUGACUGGGCGUAAAGGGCGUGUAGGCGGUUUAUACAGUCAGAUGUGAAAUCCCUGGGCUUAACCUGGGAGCUGCAUUUGAUACGUGUAGACUAGAGUGUGAGAGAGGGUUGUGGAAUUCCCAGUGUAGAGGUGAAAUUCGUAGAUAUUGGGAAGAACACCGGUGGCGAAGGCGGCAACCUGGCUCAUUACUGACGCUGAGGCGCGAAAGCGUG